Molecule: ribosomal RNA, 260 nt
Filed under: uncultured bacterium
Lineage: Bacteria
Description: partial 16S ribosomal RNA
Rfam family: Bacterial small subunit ribosomal RNA
Source: RNAcentral
GUCCACGCCGUAAACGAUGGGUGCUAGGUGUGGGGGUGUCGACUCCCUCCGUGCCGAAGCUAACGCAUUAAGCACCCCGCCUGGGGAGUACGGCCGCAAGGCUAAAACUCAAAGGAAUUGACGGGGCCCGCACAAGCAGCGGAGCAUGUGGUUUAAUUCGACGCAACGCGAAGAACCUUACCAAGGCUUGACAUGCAUUUGAAAAACGUGGAACACGUUCCCUCUUCGGAGCAAAUGCACAGGUGGUGCAUGGCUGUCGU